Molecule: long non-coding RNA, 2209 nt
Organism: Gambusia affinis (western mosquitofish)
Lineage: Eukaryota; Metazoa; Chordata; Actinopteri; Cyprinodontiformes; Poeciliidae
Exons: 4
Source: RefSeq, a predicted model, not a curated record
AAGUAGUUUUUACCGCAGUUACAGGAACCAAACAAGCUAAUUAUCACUCGCAUUCUUAAACAUUUCCCUGCGCCGGACAGGGUGACCCGGACAGGGUGACCCGGACAGGGUGACCCGGACUGGAUGACCCGGACAGGAUGACCCGGACAGGGUGACCCGGACAGGAUGACCCGGACAGGAUGACCCCGCCUCUCACCCGAAACGUUCACUGGAGAGAGGCACCUCACCCCUGCCGACCCCAGUAGGAAGAUGGGUGUACAGAAAAUGGAUGGAUGGAUUCUUCAACAUUUACCAACAUGGUCCCAUGAAUUAUGGAAAUGGGGAAAGGAAACUGAAGGAAGUUGCUGAGCCGAGGUUUUCUGGAUGAACUGGAUGCACAAAAAAUCCAAACAAAUCAUGCUGGCUUUUGGCUUCGGAGUGGCCUCUUUAAUGCACACCGGGGGCGUGAAGGGCGCCAGGAUCUGACAGCGGCGACGCAGACAAACGAAGGCAAACGGCACAAACACAGGGAGGAAAUAAAGAAACGAUCCGUCUUCCUGACCUUCGUCUGAGUCUGUAGAGGAAUCAAAGAUCCUGCAGGUCACACAGUGAAUGUCCUGAAAGGGAAACAAGGUCACAUGUCGCCGGUUUUAUUUCUGUUGCUGACUGAUCAGGUGCUUAGGAUGAGAACAGCAGCACCUCAGCUGGAGAUCACAGCAAGUCUGCAGAGUUUUUACACUCAGAAGCAACACAAGCAGUGCAGUACUUUAAGAUUUCAUCCAACUAAAGCAUGCAAGUGCACAAAAAGAUCAUUAUCUUAGGGCUCUGGUCUUUACAAAACAUGAUCUUUUUAUUUUGUGCUCCAAAUAAUUUUUUGAUUAUUAAACUUUAGCUGCUUUAGGGCGCCUUGUUGCUUUAAAUCCAAAUAAUCUGCCACCGGCCACGUCCUCUACCUCAACGUUUACCCUCGCACGUGAAAAUGGCUGCAAACAGAUGUUCAAUUCUAGAUCUGUGUAGGUUUGAAAACCAUUAGUGGAGCCUUCUGCACAACCAACAAGAAUGCAGCAAGUAGCUUCAGGAGUCAACAACAAAACUCUUGUCAUUUCCAGCAGCCACUAAAACCAGCUGAAUAAAAGGUACUGGAGCUUAGCCUGGGUUGCUAGGCAACGCCGGAACUGGCUGGGGUUGCUAGGUAACAGGUAAUGUGAAAAUGUGAGUUUUGCGUAAUACGUCCACUUUAAUUGUUUAAGGUUUGGUUUUGUGGUAAAGUCAGAAACUGAUAUAUUGCUUUUUUUUCCCGUGAAAGGUUAGCAUUAGCAUCCUGGUUUUAGAAAAAAAAUGUCCACAAAUGUCCCAGGAGCUGCGUUUCCAUUCACCAUAUAGGUUUGUAAUUUGACAUUUUGAAAAUAAAUUUCUUUAAUAAAAAUAACAAUUUUGAAAAAACAAAUUUUUUGAUAAAAAGUUUUGGCACUAGCAUGUUGUCGUUUUACGGUUUAACAAAAUUGGUUUGUUUUGCAAAACUGCAAUGGAAACAUUUUUAAUCACAUGAGCCACAAGAUCAACAACAGGAAGUUGCUACUGCCAGAAACGGCAGAAGAAGACAGGAAGUAGUUGGAGAAAGAUGGCGCUGGAUGCUUGUAGUGACGUAUCGCUUGAACAAACUUAUCUGAAUGUUGUUAUAAUUGUGAUUCUUAUUUAAUGGAAACACAGAAAUUGAAAAAUUUUGGGUGUUUUUUCAACAUUUCAACAUUAUUGACAAAGUUUUACGUACAUUUGUAAUCUAGACGCAGCUAACUCAUGACUCGGGAUUAUUUCUGCAGAGGAACAAAUCAUUUAUUUUGCCUUUUUUUCAUGAAACAUGAAUAAUAAAUAAAUAGACAUGAUUAUUGUUAUGCAACUCCUCAUGAAUCAACUGUGUAAUCUGUAUUUUUGUGUUACUAAUUUUGAGCUGAUUUAAAUAAUUGGUGCAGAACAUUUUAGUGAAAAUCAGCCUUUAUAUUUCUUAAUUUAUUUACAGUGUGUCAAAGAGGUUUGUGUGAAUUUGCAUUAAAGGUUGAAUAUUGAUAAGAUCAUUUAUCACUUUCAGCUGGUUGUCAGAGGUUUUCCAUUUCCCUCCCUCUAAUCGCCUGAUAGUUCAGCCUUUUCUGAGGAAAUGAAUGUUUUUGUCUUGAUUGCUUUAAUUGUUAUGGACUUUUAAUGAAUAAACACGUCAAGGAUGUUCAUUUCAAAC